RNAcentral lists this ribosomal RNA (254 nucleotides) under uncultured prokaryote. RNAcentral describes it as "partial 16S ribosomal RNA". It matches the Rfam family "Bacterial small subunit ribosomal RNA", at positions 524 to 777 of the family's 1533-position model. The record is from RNAcentral.
UACGAAGGGGGCGAGCGUUGUUCGGAUUUACUGGGCGUAAAGGGCGCGCAGGCGGCUCAUUUUGUCAGGCGUGAAAGCCCCGGGCUUAACCUGGGAACUGCGUUUGAUACGGAUGGGCUAGAGUUCGGGAGAGGAGAGUGGAAUUCCCAGUGUAGAGGUGAAAUUCGUAGAUAUUGGGAAGAACACCGGUGGCGAAGGCGGCUCUCUGGACCGAGACUGACGCUGAGGAGCGAAAGCGUGGGGAGCGAACAGGA